RNAcentral lists this ribosomal RNA (177 nucleotides) under Encephalitozoon cuniculi. Its description in RNAcentral is "partial small subunit ribosomal RNA". It matches the Rfam family "Microsporidia small subunit ribosomal RNA", at positions 709 to 883 of the family's 1311-position model. Lineage: Eukaryota; Fungi; Microsporidia; Unikaryonidae. The record is from RNAcentral.
CUGUGUGUGUUGUCCAUGAGAAAUCUUGAGUAUGCGGGUUCUGGGGAUAGUAUGCUCGCAAGAGUGGAAACUUGAAGAGAUUGACGGAAGGACACCACAAGGAGUGGAGUGUGCGCUUAAUUUGACUCAACGCGGGGCAACUUACCGGCUCUGAAGGAUGCCUGUGAGUGCAUGGCA